AACGAACGCUGGCGGCAUGCCUAACACAUGCAAGUCGAACGAGACCUUCGGGUCUAUUUGCGCACGGCUGCUUAACGCCUGGGAACCUGCCCUUAAGUUCGGAAUAACUGCCCUAGAGGGAUGCUAAUACCGCUUAAUGUCUUCGGACCAAAGAUUUAUCGCCGUGGGAUGGGCCUGCGUUGGAUUAGCUGGUUGGUAGGGUAAAAGCCUACCAAGGCGACGAUCCAUAGCUGGUCGGUGAGCAUGAUCAUGCACACUGGGACUGAGCCAAGGCUAAGACGCCUACGAGCGGUAGCAGUGGGGACUAUAGGACAGGAGGCGAAAGCCUGAACCAGCGAUGCCGCGAGAGUGAUGAAGGCCUUAGGGUUGUAAAGCUCCUUUACCCGGGAUGAUGAUGACAGUACCGGGAGAAUAAGCUCCGGCAAACACCGU
RNAcentral lists this ribosomal RNA (432 nucleotides) under uncultured bacterium. Its description in RNAcentral is "partial 16S ribosomal RNA". It matches the Rfam family "Bacterial small subunit ribosomal RNA", at positions 29 to 506 of the family's 1533-position model. The record is from RNAcentral.